Molecule: non-coding RNA, 27 nt
Filed under: Rattus norvegicus (Norway rat)
Lineage: Eukaryota; Metazoa; Chordata; Mammalia; Rodentia; Muridae
Source: RNAcentral
UAGAUUACAUGAUGACAUCUAUUGAGU